GGGCCUGUAGCUCAAUUGGUAAGAGCCAGCGGCUCAUAACCGCUUGGUUGGGGGUUCAAGUCCCUCCAGGCCCACCA
This 77-nucleotide transfer RNA is filed under the name Candidatus Tokpelaia sp. JSC085. RNAcentral describes it as "tRNA-Met". It matches the Rfam family "tRNA". From Rfam's summary of the family: Transfer RNA (tRNA) molecules are approximately 80 nucleotides in length. Their secondary structure includes four short double-helical elements and three loops (D, anti-codon, and T loops). Lineage: Bacteria; Pseudomonadati; Pseudomonadota; Alphaproteobacteria; Hyphomicrobiales. The record is from RNAcentral.